This 497-nucleotide ribosomal RNA is filed under the name uncultured bacterium. RNAcentral's name for it is "partial 16S ribosomal RNA". It matches the Rfam family "Bacterial small subunit ribosomal RNA", at positions 28 to 507 of the family's 1533-position model. The record is from RNAcentral.
GAUGAACGCUGGCGGCGUGCCUAUUACAUGCAAGUCGAGCGAACGGACGAGAAGCUUGCUUCUCUGAUGUUAGCGGCGGACGGGUGAGUAACACGUGGAUAACCUACCUAUAAGACUGGGAUAACUUCGGGAAACCGGAGCUAAUACCGGAUAAUAUUUUGAACCGCAUGGUUCAAAAGUGAAAGACGGCCUUGCUGUCACUUAUAGAUGGAUCCGCGCUGCAUUAGCUAGUUGGUAAGGUAACGGCUUACCAAGGCAACGAUGCAUAGCCGACCUGAGAGGGUGAUCGGCCACACUGGAACUGAGACACGGUCCAGACUCCUACGGGAGGCAGCAGUAGGGAAUCUUCCGCAAUGGGCGAAAGCCUGACGGAGCAACGCCGCGUGAGUGAUGAAGGUCUUCGGAUCGUAAAACUCUGUUAUUAGGGAAGAACAUAUGUGUAAGUAACUGUGCACAUCUUGACGGUACCUAAUCAGAAAGCCACGGCUAACUACGUG